UCUUAGAGAGAAGAGCUGCUCCUUCUCCUUCCUCCCGACUAGGAAUUUCCUGGGUUCCCCCCAAAGCCAGGAUGAAAAGUUUCUUCAUUCUCAUCUUCUUCUCUUUCAUGCUGGCUACGUGUCAAGGAAAAUGUUAUUUGAAUCCUUUGCUACCUGAGUAUAAAGAUGGCAAAACGGUGUGGCCCACCUCAUGUGUCUAUGAUGGGAGGGAGCAUCCCAUUGGGUCCACCUGGGACGCAGAUCUUGACUACCGUUGUGAGUGCAUUAUACAAGGAUCCCAGUGUUGCGAAAAGUCUCCUGCAACACAGAAACCUAUAGCGCUGCCUGUCAACCUUUAGAGCACCAGGGACUGGAGACAAAUUUUCCAUGAACCAGAGGAUAUGAUGAGGUCCCAGAUCGUCCGAGAUGCUUUGCAAUGGCUAAUGCAGAAACAUGUGGAUAUGAUUUCUGUAAGGUUGAUGCCCCAUUACAGCGUUGUUAAGCUUGCUGGAUUCUCUCCUCUUCACAUGGGUGAACUUGAAUCAACCUCUCCUGUUUGAAUGAACCUGAAUAAAUUCCUCCUCUCAAUA
RNA transcript from Ahaetulla prasina, 569 nucleotides. It is a transcript of the gene named small serum protein 4-like, with no coding region annotated. The transcript is spliced from 5 exons. NCBI's taxonomy places the organism in Eukaryota, Metazoa, Chordata, Lepidosauria, Squamata, Colubridae. The record is from RefSeq and is a predicted model, not a curated record.